CUAUACGGUGAAACUGCGAAUGGCUCAUUAAAUCAGUUAUCGUUUAUUUGAUAGUACCUUACUACUUGGAUAACCGUGGUAAUUCUAGAGCUAAUACAUGCUAAAAACCCCGACUUCGGAAGGGGUGUAUUUAUUAGAUAAAAAACCAAUGCCCUUCGGGGCUCCUUGGUGAUUCAUAAUAACUUAACGAAUCGCAUAGCCUUGUGCUGGCGAUGGUUCAUUCAAAUUUCUGCCCUAUCAACUUUCGAUUGUAUGGUAUUGGCUUACAAUGGUUUCAACGGGUAACGGGGAAUUAGGGUUCUAUUCCGGAGAGGGAGCCUGAGAAACGGCUACCACAUCCAAGGAAGGCAGCAGGCGCGCAAAUUACCCAAUCCCGACACGGGGAGGUAGUGACAAUAAAUACUGAUACAGGGCUCUUUUGGGUCUUGUAAUUGGAAUGAGUACAAUUUAAAUCCCUUAACGAGGAACAAUUGGAGGGCAAGUCUGGUGCCAGCAGCCGCGGUAAUUCCAGCUCCAAUAGCGUAUAUUAAAGUUGUUGCAGUUAAAAAGCUCGUAGUUGAACCUUGGGUUUGGUUGGUCGGUCCGCCUCACCGCGUGCACUGAUCCGACCGAAUCUUUCCUUCUGGGGAACCGUAUGCUCUUCACUGGGUGUACUGGGGAACCAGGACUUUUACUUUGAAAAAAUUAGAGUGUUCAAAGCAGGCCUAUGCUCGAAUACAUUAGCAUGGAAUAAUAGAAUAGGACGUGUGGUUCUAUUUUGUUGGUUUCUAGGACCGCCGUAAUGAUUAAUAGGGAUAGUCGGGGGCAUCAGUAUUCAAUUGUCAGAGGUGAAAUUCUUGGAUUUAUUGAAGACUAACUACUGCGAAAGCAUUUGCCAAGGAUGUUUUCAUUAAUCAGUGAACGAAAGUUAGGGGAUCGAAGACGAUCAGAUACCGUCGUAGUCUUAACCAUAAACUAUGCCGACUAGGGAUCGGGCGGUGUUAUCUUUUUGACCCGCUCGGCACCUUACGAGAAAUCAAAGU
Molecule: ribosomal RNA, 1022 nt
Filed under: Natara antarctica
Lineage: Eukaryota; Fungi; Ascomycota; Leotiomycetes; Helotiales
Description: SSU rRNA
Rfam family: Eukaryotic small subunit ribosomal RNA
Source: RNAcentral